This 822-nucleotide long non-coding RNA is filed under the name Linum usitatissimum (flax). Its description in RNAcentral is "long non-coding RNA (LUSI_LNC007015)". The record is from RNAcentral. Lineage: Eukaryota; Viridiplantae; Streptophyta; Magnoliopsida; Malpighiales; Linaceae.
AAACCCAACCUCUCUCCUCCUACGUUUUCUUCUCCACUUAUUUACCGUCGUCGCAACUUUAAAUCACCAUCUCGACUAUCAAUUCUACGACUUGAAAUCGAUAGAGAGAUCGCCGUUAGAUUUUUCUCCGCCUGAUACGAGGCCAUACCGGCAAGAUGAACGAGACCUCUGAGUUUCGUUCUCCUCGCAAUUCCGACGGUCACAACACCCAUACUACCUCGACAUCAUAGCUAUUUCUCUCAGUUUCGGUGAAUUGUGGUGCGGUACUACCUCAAUGCCGGAUCCUAGAUCGAAAUUUGCUUCGAUUAAUCUGUUGGAGAUCGAGAGAUGUGACGGGGGAUCUACUAACCUACCCUUCUUUCCUUUCCCUUUAACAGUUUAACGAUUUUCGCCUCGUCAAUCGAUAUAAUUUUCCUUUCUAUUAACUUAUGUCAUCUUUUAUUUGCUGUGCGGUUAGAUUGCUCAGGUGGAGAUGGAAGUUCUUGUCGUCGGCUUUCAAAUGGAAAAGAAUCUAGAUCGUCGACGUUACUCUCUUCAAGAUCGCCUCUGUUCUUAAGGCGAUUGUUUCGGUCACCACCAUGUCUUUCUUCUACCUUUGUUGCGAAUGUAAGUUUUGAUGACCGGCCGGCAAAGAAAUAUUCAUCUUAGUCCUUGAACUUUUUCCCGACUACAUUUUGAUUCAUAAACUUUAGUAGUUAGCACUAAGUCUACCAACUUUUGACUAUUGUAAUUUGUGGCCCAGGAACUUUCACAAUUAUUGCAAUUAGUACCAUGUGUUACGAACUCAGUUAAAUAAAUACCCAAAUCGAUUUUAAUGUUUUA